Molecule: long non-coding RNA, 865 nt
Organism: Cyanistes caeruleus (blue tit)
Lineage: Eukaryota; Metazoa; Chordata; Aves; Passeriformes; Paridae
Source: RefSeq, a predicted model, not a curated record
CAAGGACAAGAUGGCUGCUGGUGUGGCCACUGUUCCUCACAAAAUGGCCACCAUGGUGACCUGCCCCCACUGCAUUUCACUGCCAGUACAGACACUAUAAAAAGUUCAGCUGGCUUCUUCUAAUUUUGCCCUUCCUCAUGCCAGGAGUUUAUUCUCUGUGCUGUUACAAAUGCUCUCUGCCUGCUGCAGGGGAGGCAGGCCUGGCACUUCCCUUUGGGGUGCCUCCCACGAGGACAGUGUAAGGAGGGAAGAUCACAGGCUCCCAGCCUCACUGGAGCCUUCCCUCACUGCAAAGAAGGUUUGUUUUUUUCUUGUUAAGAUGGAAGAGCCAACCACCUGUUAGGAUGUGCUGACACCUGGCCAGCUUCUGUGUGCCCAGACAAACCCCUGUGUGCUCCCCAUGGGAAUGGGCCACAUCCACUGUCACUACAACAGGAAUGGAAGCCCCUUGUUCUCAUUUCUCACCCCUUUCAAGGACCAGGCAGAAAUCCUUAUGAGAUGUAGAGAGAUCCUGCUAUCAUUUACAGCCCUCCUGAGACCUCCGUUAGAGCAUCAUUGUCAUCCACAAUUAAGAAAGACCAAUUCUAACUGAAAGAAUAAUGAAGGCCAACACAGUGAUGUUAUAUGAAUGGAGAACCUGUCUUUAAGUGGAGGAAGUAAAAGAGUUUGGCUUAGGAAAACAAAGACUAAAUCUUGUAUGGUUACUUGGCCUAAAUAUAUAGCACCUAGACUCCAGAAAGAUACAAAUACUAAAUGUGGGUAAGGAACAAUGAGUUAUUUACUGACUUGGAGGGCUGAAAAUUGAAAGGUGAGUCAUUAGAUUUUGGAGUAAGAGAAAAUAGAGAUGUGACAAUGGAUAAGACAG